Molecule: ribosomal RNA, 115 nt
Filed under: Litorimonas taeanensis
Lineage: Bacteria; Pseudomonadati; Pseudomonadota; Alphaproteobacteria; Maricaulales; Robiginitomaculaceae
Source: RNAcentral
CCGGGUGGUUAUUGCGCAACGUCCCCACCCGAUCCCAUUCCGAACUCGGUCGUUAAGCGUUGCAGCGCCGAUGGUACUUUGUCUUAAGGCACGGGAGAGUAGGUCGCUGCCCGGU